CUACGGGAGGCAGCAGUGGGGAAUAUUGGACAAUGGGCGAAAGCCUGAUCCAGCAAUGCCGCGUGUGUGAAGAAGGCCUGCGGGUUGUAAAGCACUUUCAGUGGGGAAGAAAAGCUCGGGGCUAAUACCUCCGGGCCUUGACGUUACCCACAGAAGAAGCACCGGCUAACUCCGUGCCAGCAGCCGCGGUAAU
This 193-nucleotide ribosomal RNA is filed under the name uncultured Thiocapsa sp. Its description in RNAcentral is "partial 16S ribosomal RNA". It matches the Rfam family "Bacterial small subunit ribosomal RNA", at positions 339 to 524 of the family's 1533-position model. Lineage: Bacteria; Pseudomonadati; Pseudomonadota; Gammaproteobacteria; Chromatiales; Chromatiaceae. The record is from RNAcentral.